UACGUAGGGUGCGAGCGUUAAUCGGAAUUACUGGGCGUAAAGCGUGCGCAGGCGGCUUUGCAAGACAGAUGUGAAAUCCCCGGGCUCAACCUGGGAACUGCAUUUGUGACUGCAAGGCUAGAGUACGGCAGAGGGGGAUGGAAUUCCGCGUGUAGCAGUGAAAUGCGUAGAUAUGCGGAGGAACACCAAUGGCGAAGGCAAUCCCCUGGGCCUGUACUGGCGCUCAUGCACGAAAGCGUGGGGAGCAAACAGG
RNAcentral lists this ribosomal RNA (253 nucleotides) under uncultured bacterium. RNAcentral describes it as "partial 16S ribosomal RNA". It matches the Rfam family "Bacterial small subunit ribosomal RNA", at positions 524 to 776 of the family's 1533-position model. The record is from RNAcentral.